RNAcentral lists this ribosomal RNA (234 nucleotides) under Proteus mirabilis. RNAcentral describes it as "partial 23S ribosomal RNA". It matches the Rfam family "Bacterial large subunit ribosomal RNA", at positions 1243 to 1481 of the family's 2925-position model. Lineage: Bacteria; Pseudomonadati; Pseudomonadota; Gammaproteobacteria; Enterobacterales; Morganellaceae. The record is from RNAcentral.
UAAGCCUGCGAAGGUGUACUGUGAGGUAUGCUGGAGGUAUCAGAAGUGCGAAUGCUGACAUAAGUAACGAUAAUGCGGGUGAAAAACCCGCACGCCGGAAGACCAAGGGUUCCUGUCCAACGUUAAUCGGGGCAGGGUGAGUCGACCCCUAAGGCGAGGCUGAAAAGCGUAGUCGAUGGGAAACGGGUUAAUAUUCCCGUACUGGUGGUAACUGCGAUGGGGGAACGGAGAAGG